GUGUUUCGGCAGCACACAUACUAAAAUUGGAACAAAACAGAGAAGAUUAGCUGACCCCAACUCAAGGAUAAUAUGCAAAUUCAUGAAGCAUUCCAUAUAUUU
Vulpes vulpes (red fox) is the source of this 102-nucleotide small nuclear RNA. The record is from Ensembl. Lineage: Eukaryota; Metazoa; Chordata; Mammalia; Carnivora; Canidae.